GGAGAAACUUGUGCAUGCACAUUGCUGUUUAUGGAAUAAUAGCUGAUUUUCUUUGUUUUGUAUACAGGGCUGGGUGAGGAUCCCUGUUCUCACAAUUCACAUAGUCAGCCAUAUGUUCCUAAGAAACAGUGUUCACCCAAGAAAUCACUUUCAAACAGUCAUAUGCAAACUUGUGUUGAGAUGGUAUCACAUUCAUGUACCAUGUAUUUAACAUGUUUGCUAUUACCCCAGAAACUGCACAGGUCUGUGUGCAUCCAGAAUUGUGCGUGGAAUCUGAACCAAUAAGAAGAGCGAUCUCAUUUCCACCAAUGGAACAAAUUCUGAGGAAAUCUUGGAGAUCUUCAGAGGUGCUGAUUCAAUUCUCCUCCCAAUUAAAUGUGUGCUGCCACAGAAACAACCAUACAGAAAAUGGAUUGCAGAAAAUAAUAUAAUUGAUCCUAGGCCCUAAAUACCAUUAAAAAAGAGAAAAGAAAACAUCCUGCAGUAAAUAGGUGUGAACAUAUAUCUAGCUCUUUGGGCCUAUAUCCAGUAUAUCUACAUGAAAUCUUCCCUAUCUG
This 557-nucleotide long non-coding RNA is filed under the name Cricetulus griseus (Chinese hamster). RNAcentral's name for it is "lncRNA (ENSCGRG00015032051.1)". Lineage: Eukaryota; Metazoa; Chordata; Mammalia; Rodentia; Cricetidae. The record is from RNAcentral.